GGGUUUCUAAAACUCGGUAAUGUUCUCAGACAGAUUUGAUGAUCUGAGUGAGUAUCUAAUGUUCAGAUGACCUACUUUAGUUAAAAAAAGAUAGCAUAGGGGUGCCUGGUGGUUCAGGGGUUAAGGCGCUAAAUAUGAACCGCAACGUCCCCAGUUUGCAUCCAGCUGGGGCUCUUUGUCUCCCUCCCCUUCAUUUCCUGUCAUCUGUCGACUGUUGGUUAUCUAAUAUCACAGCAUGG
Sander lucioperca (pikeperch) is the source of this 239-nucleotide long non-coding RNA. RefSeq lists it as uncharacterized. Lineage: Eukaryota; Metazoa; Chordata; Actinopteri; Perciformes; Percidae. The transcript is spliced from 2 exons. The record is from RefSeq and is a predicted model, not a curated record.